GAGUGAACGCUAGCGGCAGGCUUAAUACAUGCAAGUACGAAGGGGUAGGCAAUACAACCGGCGCACGGGUGAGUAACGCGUACACAACAUAUCAUAUACUGGGGUAUAGCUUUGGGAAACUGAAGGUAAUCCCCCAUAACAUUGCGAGAGGGCAUCUGAUUGCAAUUAAAGUUUCGGCGGUAUAUGAUUGGUGUGCGUUUGAUUAGCUAGUUGGUAGGGUAACGGCCUACCAAGGCGACGAUCAAUAGCUGGCGUGAGAGCGCGACCAGCCACACUGGAACUGAGACACGGUCCAGACUCCUACGGGAGGCAGCAGUAGGGAAUAUUGGACAAUGGAGGAAACUCUGAUCCAGCCAUGCCGCGUGAUAGAUGAAGGCCCUCUGGGUUGUAAAUAUCUUUUAUCUGGGAAGAAACAAUCUUAUUCUUAAGAUCUUGACGGUACCAGAGGAAUAAGCACCGGCUAACUCCGUG
This 471-nucleotide ribosomal RNA is filed under the name uncultured bacterium. Its description in RNAcentral is "bacterial SSU rRNA". It matches the Rfam family "Bacterial small subunit ribosomal RNA", at positions 27 to 507 of the family's 1533-position model. The record is from RNAcentral.